CUGAGUACUCAGAACCGGUUCUGGUUUCCUAGUGGGCUCUGGGUCUCCAUCUGGUUUGAAGGCUAUUUUGAUCCACCGGAUGCAGAUUAGCUGCUGCGAUCUGGGGCUAAGCGGUUGGAGAGACGCCUUUAUCUAUAGGAGAACAAUUUAAAACUAACUCAAAGCACAGAGAACAAAUAAAUAAAUUCCUCUCUCUGUUCCAAGCACUCUCCAUCCUGUUUCUACAGGUAAUUGCAAAGGGAUUUUUUUUUUUUUUUUUUGCUUCAAACAGACUCUCGUUUGCAUGGAGCGUGGGGUACUUCAGAGUGGACUGGAGACCGGCCGACUUCUUGCCCAGAACACCAGUCUCUUGUUUUUCUGCCUGGAGAUUGACAGCCCCCUGCUAAUACAGCCUUGGAGAUGCCAGGUGCUGGCGGAACCGACGCCUCGCUGCCUCGGCCUCCCUCCCAGAACUAACUGCUCCGUGGCUGACUCAGGCCAAUGUAGCCGCACCUGUCUGCUGCCUGCACUGCCGGCUGAUGGAUGAGGCUGCGAGCCCCGUGCUGCAGAAGGCUCAGGAAUCAGGGGCACAGACAUGACGAUCUGCUGAGUUAUGGACUAGCUAACGAGACUCUUGACACCAGCAAGCCUGCAACUGCCCUAAUUGUGCCCUCUUCCUGAUUCUCUAGCCUUUUAAGCAGGCCAGGUCUUAUGAACCUAUGAACCAGUCUGCAUUAAGAUGCAUUAGCAUCCUCUGUCAUCUCUACUGCCAAGAUGAAGUGACUAGGGUUAGCUUGGGGGAAAGAAAGCUCUAUCAUUGGGAAGUAACAUCAUUUCAGUGUCUGCUGUUUGCCUAGUACUGUUCUAGGUGCUUGAAAAACUACUGAGUUGUAGUUGAAUUUUGCACAAUAGACAUUAUCUUCAUUUUAGAAAAGAGAAACAGAGACUCAGAAUAGUCUGCCCUGGGUCAGGUUUUCAGUUGUUGUUCAUGACAGCAAGCAGCUCAAACUGACUCUAGAUGACUAAAACAGAAUGGGAAUUCAGGAGAAAGAGAUGGAGAGCUCACAGAAUGUAUGAAGAUUAAAAAACAGGCACAAACCACGAUGUUCAGGGUCAGGGCCAAGACCACACCACUAAGAGUCUGUUAGGAGACUACUGCCAGGAAAAACGCAUUUCAAACCCUUCCUACACCUUAACACCCAAGUUCUCAAGUGGGAUCAUCUGAGGGUUGGCAAGCCUGUGCCACACCUCAUUUACAGAAGGCAGGGCCACUUUGGUGGACUCUGGCUCUGAUCAAGAGUCACAUGAUGAGUUCCUAAUACUGAAAGGGAGUUUCCAAGUUCAGCAGCCACACUUGUUGAGCCAGCAAACCAUCACACUGUUCCCAACUACUGCAACACUGGUAAGAGGCCCAGCAAGGGCAAGUUACAUCUCCUGGCUCCAAGUCAUGUUCUCCUUCUACCACAAUCAGGGGAGAAGAACAAACUAUUGAAAAACUGGUGGGGGCCUUGGUUCUGGCCAAUCAGAAUAGAGGCCAGGAGUAUGGCUCACGCCUGGAAUCCCAGUGACUUGGGAGGCUGAAGCAGGAGGAUCCCAAUUUCCAUGCCAGCCCUGCCAUUUUGUGAGACCCUAUCUCAAAGUUAAAAAUAAAAAAGGUUAGGGGUAUGGCUUAGUGGUAGUAUGCCAGUUUAGCAUUUGUAAGGCCCUUGGGCUUGAUCCAUACUAGGGGGCCAGGGAAUACAGAAGCCAGAAGAAAUAGCAAGUUCAACCACACAGUAGUACCCAUCAACUGACUAUCAGCUCUAUAUACUAAUAGAGCAAAAUUAAGACUCAGGGCUCCUGGAUGCCCAGGAUGGAGUCUCUUGCUACUAGGACCAUGCUCCCCAAACUUUUUCAUAGAAAAUGAUAAUAGUCAACAGGUCAGCUGAGGGGUUUAAAAUAGAUGAAUGAAUAGAUAGAUAGAAAUAAAAUUAGUAUAAAAGAUACUUUGUUCACAUCAUAUUAUGAUGAUAAAAAUCCAGGAAAAGCCCCUUGAACUCCAGGCUGUUAUAUCCAACUGCUUACUUGACAUCUCCACUUAACCACACAAUAGAUUUCUCAGGAAGAGUGCACUGAUACCUGCACACCUGUUCUCCCCUCCUUCACAACCAACCGCCCUACCUGGUUCUCCCCAGCCUUCAGAGUCAUCUCCCACUCUCAGGGUCCCAUCCUCCGCACAGUCUGUCUGCCUAUCUGAAUUGCAAAAAUAUGUGCCUAUCCUUCAUGUUGUGUAUCAGAAAACCCUCUGGCUUGACCCUGAGCUCAUGUUAAUGAACUUGCCACCUUUGCUUUGACCAUUUUGUUUCAGCCAACAUCACGUCCUCCUCAGGUUCUUACAAUGGCAACCUAACAAGUCCUUGUUUUCUUUUUUUGAGGGGGGGAUGGGGUAGAGAUUGAACCAAAGGGUGCAUUACCACUGAGCCACAUCCCCAGCCUUUUUAAUAUUUUAUUUAGAGGUAGGGUCUUGCUAAAUUGCGUAGGGCCUUGCUAAAUUGCUGAGGCUGGCUUUGAACUUGGGAUCCUCCUGCCUCAGUCAGUCGAGCUCCUGGGAUUGUGGGUGUGUGCCACCACACCCGGCUAAUCCCCUUGUUUCUGAUCUCCACCCUUUGAGGGUUUUCUCAGUACAAUGGCCAGAGUGAUCCUUUCAAAGCAUAUAGCUUUUGCUUUCAAUCUCCUGUGGCUGCCAACCCAGAGGCAUUCUCACAAUGCCCCACAUUAUGGAGACCCUCAAUCUGUCUCCAUCCAUCACCUCCCGUGACUUCAUUUUCUACCACUCUCCCAUGUGGACUCCUCUCUAGCUACAAAGGCCUCCUUCCUGUUGGGUGAACAUGCCCGUUUGCUCUACCUCUGGGCCUUUGCACUGCUCCUUCCUCUGCCCAGGUACUCAUCCCCAGAUGUCUGCAUGGCUUCCCUCCUUUCCUCUUCCAAAUCUUUGCUCAGCAUUGCCUUCUGCCCUGACCACCUUAUUUUCUCAGUCUAUUUUACUCUGCUCAUUUCCCCCCUUAGUUCCCAUGACCUGACAUGCUUUAUUUAUUUUAUUAUUACUUAUUCUUUGCUUCUCUCCAUUAGAAUGUCAACUCCUAAUGUCUGUUUGCUCAAUAAUAUAUUCUCUGCCUGGCUCUCAACUUAGAGCUGAGGAAGGAGUGAAUAGAAAUGCAAAGUACUAGGGAUGAUAUUAAAAUUUAAAUUUGCAUAGAAUUUAGAUGUUAGACAUUAGAAAUCAUUUUUAAUUUUUAAAUGAUAACUUCAUAUUUUCCUCCUGAACGUAAUGUUUUAAAUCUGGCUUUACGUUUCAUGGCUCCAUGUAAUUCUUGAUCCAGAUUUUUAAUACCGUUCUCUUCAGAUUCUCGAUAAUCUCCAUUGACAAGAAGCUUUACGUGCAAAAGCCAGCUGCACAUUCAAAAAUUUACAGCAGUUGAAAUUACGUCUAAAGUCUCUCACAGAGCUGUCCCCUUUCUUUCAUUGACAGAUGUAAUGUUAAAAUAUCUAGUGAUAAUGUUAAUGGAUCUGAAUGCUAUCAAACUUUUUCACAUCAAGUAUUUCAAAAUAGAUGCUUUAACCUGUAGCAGGUGAGGGCACUGAUGAAGCAGUCAUUCUGCAGCUUGGAUGCCAGUAAAAGGGCCCAGAAGCUGUCAGUGUUUACAAGUAUUUGAUGUUUGUGAAGACUGAGAGUCGAGCACUGUCUAGAGCUGCAUCUACCAGAAACGCCACCCAGCCUCCCUGCCCCCACCCUUACCCAGCAGCACCUUGGGGUCUGUGCCGUGCUUCUUGGGCACUUAAAAUCCAAAGUCCCCCAGCAGCUCCAUGGGCCUCUUGCCCUAAAAGGUAGUGACCUAUUCUGACCUGGCAAUUCAAACGGACAUCUGGUGGUGGAGCAUCUCCUAGAUUACAACUAGCAUGUCUCAGUCAGCAAACUGUGAUGAAGUUGCUCAGGGUCACUCUCAGUGGACAAGAGCUAUGGAAAAACCCCAUCAUAUCCUGCUCAGCUCCUGCAGUCUCCAAGCAACCUCAGCAAGGGAAUCCAGUGGCCCCAGCCUUCACCUGUGUGUCUGCAGAACUUUGAGGCCCAGAAGGCCACACACCAGUGAGCCACGGCACUCCAUUGUGGAGGAUGGACUCUGAACACUUGCACUGGGGUCUACCGCUGAGCAGCUGUGUGUCCUUGGGUGGGAUCCCUCACUUCUCUAAACUUGAGUUUCCCCAUUUAUAAAUGGGGGAUUUGAAUAAAAUUGAUGUUUGUCAAAUGUUGUCAUGGAUCCCUGGGAUUC
Ictidomys tridecemlineatus (thirteen-lined ground squirrel) is the source of this 4286-nucleotide long non-coding RNA. The record is from Ensembl. NCBI's taxonomy places the organism in Eukaryota, Metazoa, Chordata, Mammalia, Rodentia, Sciuridae.